RNAcentral lists this long non-coding RNA (778 nucleotides) under Androctonus crassicauda. Lineage: Eukaryota; Metazoa; Arthropoda; Arachnida; Scorpiones; Buthidae. The record is from RNAcentral.
CAGAAAUUUAGAAAUUUCAAAACUAAACAACUCAUAUCUUACAAUGACGUGAUCAUGGAUCAUGUCAUUGAUUUACAAUAACCAUUAUUUUCAAACAUGAUAACUCCAAAAAUUUCUGAAUUUAGAUCUAUAAUUAGCAUUUAAGAUGAGAUAAAGUCAGAUUCCACAAUAGGAAACACACAAUAUCAACUUUUAUAAUUUAUCACUGCUACUUGAAUUGCUUAUAUUUCUUAUCUCUCGCCAUUUUUAUAAUGCUGUGACUAUUUUUUCUAUUCUUGAAUUAUUUUUUCUUGAUUAUUAUUAAUGACAAAAGAGAAAAUCGUAAAUAGAAUUUUUUUAUAUAUACACUUAUACAAUAGAUCAGUGGUCUCAAACUCAAAUUUCAUGCGGGCCGAAUGCACAAUUCGAAAGGAAGUAAAGGGCCGAAUAUUUUUAAACAAAAUUACAAUGAAAGGAAAAUAUUUUACUGAUAUAGUAGUUGCUGGUAGCACAGUGCAGGUUGAAUACGGUACGCUUUAAAACUUUGCAGAAUUAUUGUAACAACAUUAAAUUGUAAUAAUUUUCUGACUGUAAUAUGUAUUUAAACAAAUAGCUAAAACAUCUUCGCGGGCCUUACAAAUUUGCAUUGUGGGCCGCCAGUUUGAGGUCGUUGCAAUAGAUCAAUUAUAUACAAAAAAAUUUUAAAAUAUGUCUUCUGUGCUUUAUUCUCAUAUUUAAUGUAUUUUUAGAUCAUAAAUAGACCUAUAUUUAAAGGCAUUUUUUAGAUUUUAAUUUUUUC